GACGAACGCUGGCGGCGUGCUUAACACAUGCAAGUCGAACGGAAAGGCCCUGCUUGUGUGGGGUGCUCGAGUGGCGAACGGGUGAGUAACACGUGAGUAACCUGCCCUUGACUGUGGGAUAACUUCAGGAAACUGGGGCUAAUACCGGAUAGGAGCUCCUGCUGCAUGGUGGGGGUUGGAAAGUUUCGGCGGUUGGGGAUGGACUCGCGGCUUAUCAGCUUGUUGGUGGGGUAGUGGCUUACCAAGGGUUUGACGGGUAGCCGGCCUGAGAGGGUGACCGGCCACAUUGGGACUGAGAUACGGCCCAGACUCCUACAGGAGGCAGCAGUGGGGAAUAUUGCACAAUGGGCGGAAGCCUGAUGCAGCAACGCCGCGUGCGGGAUGACGGCCUUCGGGUUGUAAACCGCUUUCGCCUGUGACGAAGCGUGAGUGACGGUAAUGGGUAAAGAAGCACCGGCUAACUACGUG
Molecule: ribosomal RNA, 468 nt
Filed under: uncultured bacterium
Lineage: Bacteria
Description: partial 16S ribosomal RNA
Rfam family: Bacterial small subunit ribosomal RNA
Source: RNAcentral